RNAcentral lists this ribosomal RNA (657 nucleotides) under uncultured archaeon. RNAcentral describes it as "bacterial SSU rRNA". It matches the Rfam family "Archaeal small subunit ribosomal RNA", at positions 120 to 777 of the family's 1478-position model. The record is from RNAcentral.
ACUGGGAUAACCCUGGGAAACUGGGGAUAAUACUAGAUAGGCAAUUUUUCCUGGAAUGGUUUUUUGUUUAAAUGUUUUUUCGCCUAAGGAUGGGUCUGCGGCCGAUUAGGUAGUUGGUUAGGUAACGGCUUACCAAGCCAUUGAUCGGUACGGGUUGUGAGAGCAAGAGCCCGGAGAUGGAACCUGAGACAAGGUUCCAGGCCCUACGGGGUGCAGCAGGCGCGAAACCUCCGCAAUGUGAGAAAUCGCGACGGGGGGAUCCCAAGUGCCAUUCUUAACGGGAUGGCUUUUCAUUAGUGUAAAGAGCUUUUGGAAUAAGGGCUGGGCAAGACCGGUGCCAGCCGCCGCGGUAACACCGGCAGCUCUAGUGGUAGCAGUUUUUAUUGGGCCUAAAGCGUCCGUAGCCGGUUUAAUAAGUCUCUGGUGAAAUCCUGUAGCUUAACUGUGGGAAUUGCUGGAGAUACUAUUAGACUUGAGACCGGGAGAGGUUAGAGGUACUCCCAGGGUAGAGGUGAAAUUCUGUAAUCCUGGGAGGACCGCCUGUUGCGAAGGCGUCUAACUGGAACGGUUCUGACGGUGAGGGACGAAAGUUAGGGGCGCGAACCGGAUUAGAUACCCGGGUAGUCCUAACUGUAAACGAUGCGGACUUGGUGUUGG